GCCAGGUGUGGUAGCGCACGCCUGUAGUCCCAGCUACUCAGGAGGCUGAGACAGGAGGACUGAUUGAGCCUGGGAGGUCAAGGCUGCAGUGAGCCAUGGCCAUGCCACUGCACUCCAGCCUGAGCAACAGAGCAGGACCCUGUCUCAA
This is an unclassified non-coding RNA of Pongo abelii (Sumatran orangutan), 148 nucleotides long. It matches the Rfam family "Metazoan signal recognition particle RNA". Rfam says of the family: The signal recognition particle (SRP) is a universally conserved ribonucleoprotein. Lineage: Eukaryota; Metazoa; Chordata; Mammalia; Primates; Hominidae. The record is from Ensembl.